CUGGAAAACUUCAUAUGCUCUUGAUGUUUUCAGGAAUAUGAGAAUCUGCAUUAGUAGCCUUGAAUAAAGUCAGAAGCAAAAAAGCUGAGCUAUUCAGUAGUGACACCAUGCACUGUAAAUGGAAAACAGAUAUGAAAAUGAAGUCCAUCCGGAGAUACAAGAAAGUAAAGAAACAAGUGAUUUUCAGGUCACUGAUGAGUGCUUGACCUGUGAGGGGAAAAUGCAUAUCUUCAGGUCACUAGCUUUCAGAUGAGGCCAUCUGCUUCAAAUUGGUGGGAAAAAAAUGGCAGUCUCCUGCUGAAAAUUAAUAAAUUGAUUCAGACAUGCUCCGGAAAUUGUACUGUGCAAGAGGGAAUAAUUUAUUUAUGACCUCAUCUGGAGAUCACCUUCUGCCUCAAAUCACAAAGACUAUAGAAGGAUACUGGCAAAAGACAUUUUAGAAUAGUAUCCGUAGAAAAACCUGCUAUUGGAUGGACCAGCCCUGUCCGCAGAAGACGAAGCUUAGUAUGAAGAUCCAUGUGCUCAAACAGCAAGAAGAUAACAAUGACAGACAUGUUGCCAAAAACUGGAACUGAUGCUGCUAAAGAGCAUCAGAGUUUAGUUUGACUCCACUUCCCAGAUACAGCCUUCCUCAGAGACAACACGUCUUUAUCUGGACAAAGAAUCUUUUCCCUUAUGACAAAAAUGACAUCAACCUCAACAUAUCUUAUUAAGGACAGCAUCAAGUCUAAGAAGACAUGUAUUUGUGAAGAGAGGUUGCUAUGGUGCUGUAUGCAGUGUCUGGAAAUCGGAGUUGGUGAAGAUAUAUUGUAGCUAAAAGAGACAAGAUCUCCCAUGGUUCAUCGUUACUUCUUGUCAGCAAGGACCUAAGUACAUUCAUCUCCCUUUCCUGCAAGUGAGUGAUGAUGAAGGAAGUAAAGAGAUGUAUAAAGUACCAGACAGUGGCAGAAAUGAGGAACUAAGGCUUUCCUUCCCAAUAAAAUCUCCAAAUGCAAUAAUGCUGUUUUCUGUGGAAGAAGAAUGUUGCUCUUUAAAAAGUAAGUGGCUCCCAGAUAAGUUUUGUG
Coturnix japonica (Japanese quail) is the source of this 1064-nucleotide non-coding RNA. The record is from RefSeq and is a predicted model, not a curated record. Lineage: Eukaryota; Metazoa; Chordata; Aves; Galliformes; Phasianidae.